GACGAACGCUGGCGGCGUGCUUAACACAUGCAAGUCGAACGGAAAGGCCCUGCUUUUGUGGGGUGCUCGAGUGGCGAACGGGUGAGUAACACGUGAGUAACCUGCCCUUGACUUUGGGAUAACUUCAGGAAACUGGGGCUAAUACCGGAUAGGAGCUCCUGCUGCAUGGUGGGGGUUGGAUAGUUUCGGCGGUUGGGGAUGGACUCGCGGCUUAUCAGCUUGUUGGUGGGGUAGUGGCUUACCAAGGCUUUGACGGGUAGCCGGCCUGAGAGGGUGACCGGCCACAUUGGGGCUGAGAUACGGCCCAGACUCCUACGGGAGGCAGCAGUGGGGAAUAUUGCACAAUGGGCGGAAGCCUGAUGCAGCAACGCCGCGUGCGGGAUGACGGCCUUCGGGUUGUAAACCGCUUUCGCCUGUGACGAAGCGUGAGUGACGGUAAUGGGUAAAGAAGCACCGGCUAACUACGUG
Molecule: ribosomal RNA, 468 nt
Filed under: uncultured bacterium
Lineage: Bacteria
Description: partial 16S ribosomal RNA
Rfam family: Bacterial small subunit ribosomal RNA
Source: RNAcentral